GGGUGUGUAGCUCAGUGGUAGAGCGGCUGACUGCAGAUCAGCAGUCCUCGGUUCAAAUC
Non-coding RNA from Perkinsus marinus ATCC 50983, 59 nucleotides. NCBI's taxonomy places the organism in Eukaryota, Perkinsozoa, Perkinsida, Perkinsidae. The record is from Rfam.